Molecule: long non-coding RNA, 368 nt
Filed under: Felis catus (domestic cat)
Lineage: Eukaryota; Metazoa; Chordata; Mammalia; Carnivora; Felidae
Description: lncRNA (ENSFCAG00000044890.2)
Source: RNAcentral
UCUGUACUUGUCUUGUGUCCCAGCGUCUUAUGUUCCCAACUACAGGGCAAAUGUACAAGGACCACAUCUAAUGCGUGUUUAUCUUCUCUCUGGAGCCAGUUACAUGGGCUGCUUCUUACAAACGGGCUUACUGGGAUUACACAGAGGCUAAUGCCUGAUGCAUGAGAUUUAAGAGAAGAGGCAAAAUCAACCUUGCUGUCGUAGGGACACAGAGUCAUAACACCUCAACCAGGGCGAUGCCAAUGGACGUGGAGGGAAAAGAAAGAUGUGGGGGAAAACAUGAAGGAAAAGCUGACAAGACUGGGUGAACAAUGAAGUUUAGAAGGUAAUGGAAAUGGAAGUUAAAUAAAGCUUCAUUUUGUUUUUCA